CUUGUAGCACAAUGAACAGUGCGUUGGACUUCUAAUCCAAAGGUCGUGGGUUCGAAUCCCCCUGGAAUGG
This 70-nucleotide transfer RNA is filed under the name Trichonephila inaurata madagascariensis. RNAcentral's name for it is "tRNA-Arg". The stretch from base 5 to 62 matches the Rfam family "tRNA", at positions 8 to 63 of the family's 71-position model. From Rfam's summary of the family: Transfer RNA (tRNA) molecules are approximately 80 nucleotides in length. Their secondary structure includes four short double-helical elements and three loops (D, anti-codon, and T loops). Further hydrogen bonds mediate the characteristic L-shaped molecular structure. tRNAs have two regions of fundamental functional importance: the anti-codon, which is responsible for specific mRNA codon recognition, and the 3' end, to which the tRNAs corresponding amino acid is attached (by aminoacyl-tRNA synthetases). tRNAs cope with the degeneracy of the genetic code in two manners: having more than one tRNA (with a specific anti-codon) for a particular amino acid; and 'wobble' base-pairing, i.e. permitting non-standard base-pairing at the 3rd anti-codon position. The record is from RNAcentral. Lineage: Eukaryota; Metazoa; Arthropoda; Arachnida; Araneae; Nephilidae.